CGUCGACAUGGCGAUGGUUAGACGACACAAACGGGAGAAAACCUGGUCUAGCAUGGACAUCACCAUUAAAGUAAUCUACUAGUUUCACAUGGUCAAUUACAACACCGGUCAAAAGCUUGGACAUACUUACUUGGAUAAUGUGGUGCCUUACAGGAUUGCAUGUCGUUUGCUACUUGCUAUCAGAGGCUGCAUCGUUGCUCAUUCACUCGAAGACCAGAGGCUGCCAUUAGUUGCUACACCCUUGAAAAUGUUUGCUCCCUCAGCUUUGGGGCCCAUGAAAGAGGUGGAGGCGCACAUGAAUGCAGAAAUGGACGGCCAAGGGUGGAGUGGAGCUAACAAGGUGUCCAUCUGGGAUUCAACAACUGUGAUGAAACUGGGGAUGGCAAAGGGGGAUGAAUCAUGUCGAGGAAACAUUGAUAACUGAGUGUGAACACGUCCCAACACGUUCGCUGACACAACGUGGCUGAGGCCAGACAAAGGCGGGAAUGAGGACCACCUGCAAUGGGAGACGAAAGGAACACAUGCAGCGAUGACAGCCCACUGAUGGGUUGAACACGUUAGUACAGGAUGCUCUGGUUGAUCGCGAGAGAGGAAGAGAAGGAAUGAAGAAGGCACUGUGGGGAAAAGAGGGAGGCAGAGUGAGGGGAGAGGUAUAUGGGAAGCAAGGGAGG
This is a long non-coding RNA of Esox lucius (northern pike), 671 nucleotides long. The record is from Ensembl. Lineage: Eukaryota; Metazoa; Chordata; Actinopteri; Esociformes; Esocidae.